GAUGAACGCUAGCGAUAGGCUUAACACAUGCAAGUCGAGGGGCAGCAUGGUCUUAGCUUGCUAAGACUGAUGGCGACCGGCGCACGGGUGCGUAACGCGUAUGCAACUUGCCUCAUAGAGGGGGAUAACCCGUCGAAAGACGGACUAAUACCGCGUACACUCCAUCUUGGGCAUCCAAGGUAGAGGAAAUGAAAUUCGCUGUGAGAUAGGCAUGCGUCCCAUUAGCUAGUUGGUGAGGUAACGGCUCACCAAGGCGACGAUGGGUAGGGGAACUGAGAGGUUGAACCCCCACACUGGUACUGAGACACGGACCAGACUCCUACGGGAGGCAGCAGUGAGGAAUAUUGGUCAAUGGGCGAGAGCCUGAACCAGCCAAGUCGCGUGAAGGAUGACUGUCUUAUGGAUUGUAAACUUCUUUUAUACGGGAAUAACAAGAGUCACGUGUGACUCCCUGCAUGUACCGUAUGAAUAAGCAUCGGCUAACUCCGUG
This 490-nucleotide ribosomal RNA is filed under the name uncultured bacterium. RNAcentral's name for it is "partial 16S ribosomal RNA". It matches the Rfam family "Bacterial small subunit ribosomal RNA", at positions 28 to 507 of the family's 1533-position model. The record is from RNAcentral.